UGUGGUAUAACUGUUCCACUUUAUGCUGUAACCGCACAACUCAAGACUACCAUAUAGAAGUAGAUAGAUAGAAGUGGCAGGUAUAUGGGUGUACUCUUUAGCCCUACAGAUGUUCCGAGGUGUGGUAUAACUGUUCUAUUUUAAGCUAUAACAGCACAAGUAAAGAGUACCAUAUAAAAGUAGACAUAUAGAUGUGGCAGGUAUUUGGGUGUG
Molecule: long non-coding RNA, 213 nt
Filed under: Ananas comosus (pineapple)
Lineage: Eukaryota; Viridiplantae; Streptophyta; Magnoliopsida; Poales; Bromeliaceae
Description: long non-coding RNA (ACOM_LNC007288)
Source: RNAcentral